GUGGGGAAUCUUCCGCAAUGGACGAAAGUCUGACGGAGCAACGCCGCGUGAGUGAUGAAGGUCUUCGGAUUGUAAAGCUCUGUUAAUCGGGACGAAAGAGCCUAGUGUGAAUAAUGCUAGGAAGUGACGGUACCGGAAUAGAAAGCCACGGCUAACUACGUGCCAGCAGCCGCGGUAAUACGUAGGUGGCAAGCGUUGUCCGGAAUUAUUGGGCGUAAAGCGCGCGCAGGCGGAUCUGCCAGUCUGACUUAAAAGUUCGGGGCUUAACCCCGUGAUGGGAUGGAAACUACAGAUCUAGAGUAUCGGAGAGGAAAGUGGAAUUCCUAGUGUAGCGGUGAAAUGCGUAGAUAUUAGGAAGAACACCAGUGGCGAAGGCGACUUUCUGGACGAAAACUGACGCUGAGGCGCGAAAGCCAGGGGAGCGAACGGGAUUAGAUACCCCUGUAGUCC
Molecule: ribosomal RNA, 450 nt
Filed under: uncultured bacterium
Lineage: Bacteria
Description: partial 16S ribosomal RNA
Rfam family: Bacterial small subunit ribosomal RNA
Source: RNAcentral